Molecule: long non-coding RNA, 4942 nt
Organism: Oncorhynchus tshawytscha (Chinook salmon)
Lineage: Eukaryota; Metazoa; Chordata; Actinopteri; Salmoniformes; Salmonidae
Source: Ensembl
UUUUCUAAUGGUGAUUUCAAGUUUUAUUGUCACGUGCACAAGUACAGUGAAAUGACUUUCUUGCAAGCUCUUUUCCCAACAAUGCAGUAAUCAAUAUCAAUAUAUUGUGUUGUACUAUAAAAUAAAGUAUAAGAAAUAAGAACAACACUAAAAAGUCCUGGGAUACUGGAGCGGUAGAGGUAGAACAUCUCAUUCCAAAGGCAUUAAUGGACUUGGUCCCCCCUUUGCUGCUAUAACAGCCUCCACUCUUCGGGGAAGGCUUUCCACAAGAUUUUGGAACAUGACUAUGAGGCCUAGCUCACAGUCAGUGUUCCAUUUCAUCCCAAAGGUCAGGGCUCUGUGCAGUUGACUGGCCUGCACAAACCAUUUCUGUAUGGACCUCGCUUUGUGCACGGUAAUUGUAUCUAGUAGUGUUAAUAUUUCCCUUCACUGGAACAAAGGAUCCUAGCCCAAAACCAUGAAAAAUAAUCCCAGACCAUUAUUCCUCCUCCGCCAAACUUUACAGUUGACACUAUGCAUUGGUGCAGGUAGCGUUCUCCUGACAUCCGCCAAACCCAGAUUCGUCCGUCAGACUGCUAGAUGGUGAAGCGUGAUUCAUCACUCCAGAGAAUGCAUGUCCACUGCUCCAGAGUCCAAUGGCGGUGAUCUUUACACCACUCCGUACAACGCUUGGCAUUGCGCAUGGUUAUCUUAGGCUAGUGUGCGGCCGCUCGGCCAUGGAAACCGAUUUCAUGAAGCUCCUGACGAAUAGUUUUUGUGCUGAUGUUGCUUCCAGUGACAGUUUGGAACUUGGUAGUGAGUGUUGCAACCGAGGAAGCUAUGCGUUUCAGCACUGGGUUGUCCUGUUCUUUGAGCUUGUGUGGUCUGCCACUUUGCGGCUGAGCUGUUGUUGCCCCUAGACGUUCACAAUAACAGCACUUACAGUUGACCCGGGCAGCUCUAGCAGGGCAGAAAUUUGAUGAACUGACUUGUUGGUAAUGUGGCAUCCUAUGACAGUGUCACAUUGAAAGUCCCUGAGCUCUUCAGUAAGGCCAUUCUACUGCCAAUAUUUGUCUAUGGAGUUUGCAUGGCUGUGUGCUCAAUUCUAUCACCUGUCAGCAACGGGUGUGGCUGAAAUAGCCGAAUCCACUCAUUUGAAAGGGUGUCCACACGCUUUUGUAUAUAUAGUGUAUGUAUAGGGGUAAUGUGACUAGGCAUUAGGAUAUAUGAUAAACAGAGUAGCAGCAGUGUAUAGAGUAGCUGCAGCUUGCAGAUAGCUCUGACAGUCGACAGCCUCCCAGUCCAGGCUGUGGUAGACACUGGAGCUGAAAUGACAAUCAUCUCUGAGAGCCUUUACGAGCAGCUCCCUGUGAGUGAGAAAACUUCUCUCAAGAAGACAUGAGUUCAGAAUGCUGAGUUGGGGAAAGACAUGACUGCAGUGGAUGGAUCAAAAGUUACAUUCCAUAUCGGCACCAGGAGCUAUGAAUAGGAGGUGACUCUGUCCUCCUCAGCCUGGACCUGUUGAGAGCUGGAAAUGUAACUAUCUAUGCCAGCGGAAGAGUCUUUAUCAAGGAGGAACCUUUGACUGCCAAAAUCGCUGGAGGCGACGGAUCAGACUACUUCGUAGCUCGGGUGCUCCUGGAGAAAGACGCAACCUCGCCAUCAGAGUGUGAAAUGUCUAGUCUGGGGUGAAGUUGACCAUCCGAAGCCUGGUGUUACUGCCUCUAACAGAAAGUGUCACCACAACCAAAAUGUGCCUUGGCGUCCUGGUCAAAACAUUCCUGAUGAUCCCUCCAACCCAUCUAGUCCAGUUGAGCAGGAUGAAGCAUGCACUCCUGGGGAACAGUCUUAAAGCACACUGCGGCCAGAGAUGAAAAAAGUGACUGCUGCAUCAGACCUACCUGAACAUCUCCAGGCCAUGUUUGUUGCUUCAAGCGAGGCAUUCAGUAGGGAAAAACAACAACAGUCAAUGUCCCUUUUUGCAAUGAACAACAUUGACUUAGGCUACAUGUCUGCUGUCACCCACACUGGAGCGGCUAGGCCAGUACAUCAACCGAUACGACGGAUAUUUCUCGGAGUCCAAGGAAAAGAGGAAAUGCACUUCAAGGCAAUGGUGGAAGCAGGUGUCGUCACACCAUCCUCCUCAGAGUGGGCAUCCCCCGUUGUCAUAGUUUGUAAAGAUUGUGGAAUCCGCUGGUAUGUCGAUUACCGCCGCCUCAAUAGCCUGACAGCCAAGGAUGCAUAGCCUUUCCCGAAGAGGGAAGUGUGUCUAGACGUCCUUGGGGGAUCCAAUGUCGUCUCCACGUUAGAUCUUCAUUCUGGCUACAGGCUGAUAGCAGUGGAUGAAAAGGACCAGGAGAAGAUGGUGUUUAUCACUAAAUAUGGGCUCUAUGAUUGUAUCUGCAUGCCAUUCGGCCUUUGUAACGCCCCACAUUUCAGAGGGCCAAUGGAGCUCGUCCUCCAUGGACUCCAAUGGGAAACACUAUUAAUCUAUCUGGAGGACAUCAUCAUCCUGGGGAGAGGAGUUGAUGAGAGCCUAGAACUGCUUGCAGAUGUCUUCCAACUCCUUCACAGCUACGGUCUGAAGCUGAAGCCAUCAAAGUGUCACCUGCUCAAGUAAGAAUUCCUGUUCUUAAGGCAUGUCAUGAGUGGUGAAGGCAUAAGUCCCAACCCUGCUCUGAUCAAGGAUGUGCAAACCUGGCAACCUCGUAGUAAUGUGCAAGAAGUGCAAGCCUUCAUAGGAUUAUGCAAUUACUACCGCAAGUUCGUCCCAGCAUUUGCGGUACUGGCCAGCCCACUCAAUAUUUUCCUCAAGAAGGAAGCUAAAUUAUUGUGGAGAGCAGAGCACCAGAAUGCCUUCAGUCAGGUGAAACUGACAACAGCCCCAGUGCUAGAGUAUCCAGCUGCAGAAGGGAAGUACACCCUUGACAUGCAUGCCACCAACCACAUCAUUAGAGCAGUGCUGUCACAUCUACAGUGGGCAGAAGAGAGAGUUAUCACCUAUGCAAGCACCCACCUCACGCCAGCUCAGCAGAAGUACUGGGUCACCAGGAAUGAGUUACGGGCCAUUGUCAGCUACACCCGCCAAUUCUACCAUUACCUACUUGGCUGGAAGUUCCUACUGUGCAGCGAUGUCGAAGGAGCUGCAGUAGAGCGGGUCAAGAGCUUCAAGUUCCUCGGUGUCCAAAGGACUUAAAAUGAUCCACACAUACAAGCCCAGUCGUGAAGAAGGCAUGACAGUGCCUCUUCCCCUCAGGAGGGAGAAAAGGUUUGUCAUGUCCCCUCAAAUCCUCAAGAAGUUCUACAGCUGCACCAAUGAGAGCAUCUUGACUGGUUGCAUCAAUGCUUGGUAUGGCAACAGCACCCCCCUUGAGCGCAUGGCACAAAAGAGGUUUGUGUGGACAGCCCAGUACAUCACUGGGGCCGAGAUCCCUGACAUCCAGGACCUCUAUAUCAGGCGGUGUGAAAGUAAGGCCCGGAAAAUCACGCCACAGACUGUUCUUUCUGAUUCUGCAACAUAUCCAGCAGAUCCACGGACGAUGCCAUUUCCAUCACUAUUAACACAGCCAUAACACAUCUGGACAAGAGGAUCACCUAUGUGAGAAUGCUGUUCAUUCACUACAGUUUAACAUUCAACACUAUUGUUUCCUCCAAGCUCUGCGGUCAGAGCCCUUGGUCUGGACAUCGCCCUUUGUAACUGGAUCCUGGACUGGGCAGACCACAGGCUACGACGAUUGGCAACAACAACACGUCCUCCACACUGACUCUUAAUACAAGGGACCCCCAGGUGUGUGGCCAAUUGAGAUAGUUUGGGAUGAGUUGGACCACAGAGUGAAGAAAAUUCAGAGACUUGUCUGGAACCCACUACUGCGUUGUCUUGGCUGUGUGCUUAGGGUCAUUGUCCUGUUGGAAGGUGAACCUUCACCCCAGUCUGCGGUCCUGAGUGCUCUGGAGUAGGUUUUCAUCAAGGAUCGCUCCGUUCAUCUUUCCCUCGAUCCUGACUAGUCUCCCAGUCCCUGUCGCUGAAAAACAUCCCUACAGCAUGAUGCUGCCACCACGCUUCACCAUAGGGAUAGUGCCAGGUGUCCUCCAGAUGUGACUUUGUCAUUCAGAGUUUACCUCUGUUUCAUCAGACCAGAGAAUCUUGAGGUGCCUUUUGGCAAACUCCAAGCAGGCUGUCAUGUGCCUUUUUCUGAAGAAUGGCUUCCGUCUGGCCCCUCUACCAUAAUGGCCUGAUUGGUGGAGUGCUGCAGAGACUUUUGUCCUUUUGGAAGGUUCUGCCAUCUCCACAGAGGGACUCUGGAGCCCUGUCAGAGUGACCAUCGGGUUCUUGCUCACCUCCCUGACCAAGGCCCUUCUCCCCCAAUUGCUCAGUUUGGCCGGGCGUCCAGUUCUAGGAAGAGUCUUGGUGGUUUCAAACAUCUUUCCUUCAAGAAUGACAGAGGCUACUUUUUCAUUUUGAGCACCUACCCCCCUGAAAGCCCUAUGCACGGCCCUGCAUAUCAAAUCAAAUCAAAUCAAAUGUAUUUAUAUAGCCCUUCGUACAUCAGCUGAUAUCUCAAAGUGCUGUACAGAAACGCAGCCUAAAACCCCAAACAGCAAGCAAUGCAGGUGUAGAAGCACGGUGGCUAGGAAAAACUCCCUAGAAAGGCCAAAACCUAGGAAGAAACCUAGAGAGGAACCAGGCUAUGUGGGGUGGCCAGUCCUCUUCUGGCUGUGCCAGGUGGAGAUUUUAACAGAACAUGGCCAAGAUGUUCAAAUGUUCAUAAAUGACCAGCAUGGUCGAAUAAUAAUAAGGCAGAACAGUUGAAACUGGAGCAGCAGCACGGCCAGGUGGACUGGGGACAGCAAGGAGUCAUCAUGUCAGGUAGUCCUGGGGCAUGGUCCUAGGGCUCAGGUCCUCCGAGAGAGAGAGAGAGAGAGAGAGAGAGAGAAAGAGAGAAUUAGAGAACGCACACUUAGA